Molecule: long non-coding RNA, 560 nt
Organism: Saimiri boliviensis boliviensis (Bolivian squirrel monkey)
Lineage: Eukaryota; Metazoa; Chordata; Mammalia; Primates; Cebidae
Source: RefSeq, a predicted model, not a curated record
CUUCCGGGACGCGCCUACGGCGACUUCGCCGCCGAAGCUUUGUGCGUCGGUUCGCGACUUCGCUGACGAAGCUGGGGCGACUCCGCGGGACGGCAGCGCACUGCAGCAGCCCCGCGCCCUUAGUGCAUCAAGGAUCCUGAGCUGCCAGGGGCCUGGCCACUCCCGCCCUGAGCCCUGUCUUGGCUGAGCUGGUCAUCGCUGCGUGCCCCGGGCUGCCGGCCUGCCUGUCAUCUGCAGUGCACAGAUGUCUCUGGCUGUGCCGUGUGGAGUGUUCAUGUCUGGAUUGCGUGGGAGUCUGGCCCCUCUGCUCCAACGGCUGCUUUCCUGGAGGAAACUGGCCUGUUUGCCACCUCUCCUGAUGCCCAGAGCGGUGGCCGGUGCAGGAAGUCCCUCUUCCUUCUCUCAGUGUCUGCACUUCCCCACGGGACAUUUUGUCUCAGUUCUGACAUCUCCCCAGCUAGAAGAGAGACCCUCAAAGGCGUGCAGGCAGGGUCUCACAUGAUCACCCCACUGGAGUGCAGUGGCACAAGCUCCGCUCACUGCAACCACCACAUCCCAGG